GACGAACGCUGGCGGCGUGCUUAACACAUGCAAGUCGAACGGGAUCCAAUGGUGCUUGCACUGUUGGUGAGAGUGGCGAACGGGUGAGUAACACGUGAGUAACCUGCCCUCUUCUUUGGGAUAACUGCCUGAAAGGGUGGCUAAUACCGGAUGUUCUGCUCCUGCCGCAUGGUGGGGGUUGGAAAGGUUUUUUCUGGUGGGGGAUGGGCUCGCGGCCUAUCAGCUUGUUGGUGGGGUGAUGGCCUACCAAGGCGGUGACGGGUAGCCGGCCUGAGAGGGUGACCGGCCACACUGGGACUGAGAUACGGCCCAGACUCCUACGGGAGGCAGCAGUGGGGAAUAUUGCACAAUGGGGGGAACCCUGAUGCAGCGACGCCGCGUGGGGGAUGACGGCCUUCGGGUUGUAAACCUCUUUCGGUGGGGAAGAAUUUGACGGUACCUGCUAAAGAAGCGCCGGCUAACUACGUGCCAGCAGCCGCGGUAAUACGUAGGGCGCGAGCGUUGUCCGGAAUUAUUGGGCGUAAAGAGCUCGUAGGUGGCGUGUCGCGUCUGUCGUGAAAACCUGCAGCUUAACUGUGGGCUUGCGGUGGGUACGGGCAUGCUUGAGUGCAGUAGGGGAGACUGGAAUUCUUGGUGUAGCGGUGGAAUGCGCAGAUAUCAGGAGGAACACCGGUGGCGAAGGCGGGUCUCUGGGUUGUUACUGACGCUGAGGAGCGAAAGCAUGGGUAGCGAACAGGAUUAGAUACCCUGGUAGUCCAUGCCGUAAACGUUGGGCACUAGGUGUGGGGGCCAGUUCCAUGGUUUCUGUGCCGUAGCUAACGCAUUAAGUGCC
RNAcentral lists this ribosomal RNA (832 nucleotides) under uncultured bacterium. Its description in RNAcentral is "bacterial SSU rRNA". It matches the Rfam family "Bacterial small subunit ribosomal RNA", at positions 28 to 868 of the family's 1533-position model. The record is from RNAcentral.